RNAcentral lists this ribosomal RNA (460 nucleotides) under Fusobacterium sp. oral taxon A11. Its description in RNAcentral is "bacterial SSU rRNA". It matches the Rfam family "Bacterial small subunit ribosomal RNA", at positions 28 to 500 of the family's 1533-position model. The record is from RNAcentral. Lineage: Bacteria; Fusobacteriati; Fusobacteriota; Fusobacteriia; Fusobacteriales; Fusobacteriaceae.
GAUGAACGCUGACAGAAUGCUUAACACAUGCAAGUCUACUUGAAUUUGGGUUUUUUAACUUAGAUUUGGGUGCGGACGGGUGAGUAACGCGUAAAGAACUUGCCUCACAGCUAGGGACAACAUUUGGAAACGAAUGCUAAUACCUGAUAUUAUGAUUUUAAGGCAUCUUAGAAUUAUGAAAGCUAUACGCGCUGUGAGAGAGCUUUGCGUCCCAUUAGCUAGUUGGAGAGGUAACGGCUCACCAAGGCGAUGAUGGGUAGCCGGCCUGAGAGGGUGAACGGCCACAAGGGGACUGAGACACGGCCCUUACUCCUACGGGAGGCAGCAGUGGGGAAUAUUGGACAAUGGACCAAGAGUCUGAUCCAGCAAUUCUGUGUGCACGAUGACGUUUUUCGGAAUGUAAAGUGCUUUCAGUUGGGAAGAAAAAAAUGACGGUACCAACAGAAGAAGUGACGGCUAA